UACGUUGCGGGCAAGCGUUGUUCGGAAUUCUUGGGCGUAAAGCGCGCGCAGGCGGUCUUUUAAGUCUGAUGUGAAAGCCCCCGGCUCAACCGGGGGGGGUCAUUGGAAACUGGGAGACUUGAGUACAGAAGAGGAGAGUGGAAUUCCACGUGUAGCGGUGAAAUGCGUAGAUAUGUGGAGGAACACCAGUGGCGAAGGCGUCUCUCGGGUUUGUAAUUGACGCUGAGGCGCGAAAGCGUGGGGAGCAAACAGG
This 253-nucleotide ribosomal RNA is filed under the name uncultured bacterium. RNAcentral describes it as "partial 16S ribosomal RNA". It matches the Rfam family "Bacterial small subunit ribosomal RNA", at positions 524 to 776 of the family's 1533-position model. The record is from RNAcentral.